RNAcentral lists this ribosomal RNA (497 nucleotides) under uncultured bacterium. RNAcentral describes it as "partial 16S ribosomal RNA". It matches the Rfam family "Bacterial small subunit ribosomal RNA", at positions 28 to 507 of the family's 1533-position model. The record is from RNAcentral.
GAUCAACGCUGGCGGCGUGCCUAAUACAUGCAAGUCGAGCGCACGGACCAGAAGCUUGCUUCUCUGAUGUUAGCGGCGGACGGGUGAGUAAUACGUGGAUAACCUACCUAUAAGACUGGGAUAACUUCGGGAAACCGGAGCUAAUACCGGAUAAUAUUUUGAACCGCAUGGUUCAAAAGUGAAAGACGGUCUUGCUGUCACUUAUAGAUGGAUCCGCACUGCAUUGGCUAGUUGGUAAGGUAACGGCUUACCAAGGCAGCGAGGCAUAGCCGACCUGAGCGGGUGAUCGGCCAGACGGGAAGUGAGAAACGGCCGAGACUCCUAGAGGAGGCAGCAGUAGGGAAUCUUACGCAAUGGGCCAAAGCCUGACAGAGCAACGCCGCGUGAGGGAUGAAGGACCUCGGAUCGGAAAACUCUGUUGGUAGGGAAGAACAAAAGUGUAAGUAACUGUGCAGAUCUUGACGGUACCUGGACAAGAAGCCACGGCUAACUACGUG